AGGAGCCGUGCGAGAUGAAAGUCUCAUGCACGGUUUUGCAUGAGAGAAAGAACCGAGGAAUCCUCUUUUCGACUCUGAC
This is a non-coding RNA of Hordeum vulgare subsp. vulgare (domesticated barley), 79 nucleotides long. The record is from Rfam. Lineage: Eukaryota; Viridiplantae; Streptophyta; Magnoliopsida; Poales; Poaceae.